Oryctolagus cuniculus (rabbit) is the source of this 1234-nucleotide non-coding RNA. Lineage: Eukaryota; Metazoa; Chordata; Mammalia; Lagomorpha; Leporidae. The record is from RefSeq and is a predicted model, not a curated record.
AUGCCCUUGACAAUAGUUUACACCUCCUGUUAUUGUUGAAUUGCGAGUUACUAGAACGUUACUAGAAGUGAUUACUUCAUUUUAUUUUAGUACUUAGUUACUCUAUCAUUAGCUAAGGUACCAAAUAACAUCCUUGGUACUGCAAAACUCCAUUACAUCAUAGGAAUGGUGGAUAUCAACAUUACAAAAUGUCUGGUUGCUUGAAAUUAGAAUUACUAGAUAUCAAAAGUGUAAGAAAUCCUAGGAACAAGACAGUUAAUCUUGGAGUACUUCUGAUGCAGCAGCCAGGGUGAAGAGUUGAUGGACAAAGACCAUUUAAUUCCUGGUUCUAUCAGGUUCCUUCCUUGCCACAAAGAGGGAAUGCAGAGAGGAAGUGGGUACAUUCUCUCUCACACAUGGAAAUCAGAAUGGAGCUCUUAUUUGGAGAUACAAAUUUCUGAGCCCUGGGCAAAUCAAUGGUAAUUAAAGUAGUAAAUCUGUUACAUUGCUGUUGCUGUAUCUGUUGUUGAAAAAUUCAGAGUCUGAACUUGAAUCCACUUAAAUUAAAAUCAUGAGAACUUUCACCAAAAAAUGAAUAUUCUGUGACCAAUUCAUUUAAAGACAUAGGCUACAUUUGUAAAUAUAUUAAGGAUAUCUGAGACAAUAGAAGUGAUUUAGGAAGUUAUCACAAUAGGGAUACAGAGGUUGCCUAGCAACAUGUGAAGACAGAGAACAAUUCAUGAGUCAUGGAAGAGUGAAUGAGUCACAUGAUGGGUGGAAGUGAUUGAUGGUUUGGUUCACUGUCUCAAUGCCUCCACUGACAAAGCUGGAUAAACUACCGCAUUCCCACUUUGGCUACAAGUUUGCAAGCCUGGCACUCCUGCUGUUCCAUCAGGGCCAGCAAUAGCUGUGCUGGCAUUAUUUGAUUUGAUUUCAUUCACAGAAGAGGGGAAAGCAAUCUUCCACUAUUUAAUACAUGCAUCCAAUGAUGCAACUACAAGCUCCUCCUUCAUUCAACUGUGGAUUCAGCUUUCCAUGGUGGAGCAGACAGUGCUGCUCAAAUCAUCUGCUCUACAAAGGGAACAAGCUGCUGAGACGAGUUAUGAAAAUCAGCUCCCAAUGCUUGACCUCUGAUGAUUCAAGAUGGCCAAACGAACAUUAAGUGGAAAAUAGGAAAGUAGGCUCUUUCCAAAUCAACAUUUCUUCAUUCUGUUACUUAGAAAAAAUUAAAAAUAAAAUUGAUUAUGGAAUUUAA